CAGUAGCCGCGGUAAUACAGAGGAUGCAAGCGUUAUCCGGAAUGAUUGGGCGUAAAGGGCACGCAGGCGGUUAUUUAAGUGAGGUGUGAAAGCCCCGGGCUUAACCUGGGAAUUGCAUUUCAGACUGGGUAACUAGAGUACUUUAGGGAGGGGUAGAAUUCCACGUGCAGCGGUGAAAUGCGUAGAGAUGUGGAGGAAUACCGAAGGCGAAGGCAGCCCCUUGGGAAUGUACUGACGCUCAUGUGCGAAAGCGUGGAGAGCAAACAGGAUUAGAUACCCCGGUAGUCCCUGUCUCUUAUAC
This 301-nucleotide ribosomal RNA is filed under the name uncultured bacterium. RNAcentral describes it as "partial 16S ribosomal RNA". It matches the Rfam family "Bacterial small subunit ribosomal RNA", at positions 509 to 807 of the family's 1533-position model. The record is from RNAcentral.